RNAcentral lists this small nucleolar RNA (139 nucleotides) under Triticum aestivum (bread wheat). Its description in RNAcentral is "Small nucleolar RNA Z247". It matches the Rfam family "Small nucleolar RNA Z247". From Rfam's summary of the family: Z247 is a member of the C/D class of snoRNA which contain the C (UGAUGA) and D (CUGA) box motifs. Most of the members of the box C/D family function in directing site-specific 2'-O-methylation of substrate RNAs. The record is from Rfam by way of RNAcentral. Lineage: Eukaryota; Viridiplantae; Streptophyta; Magnoliopsida; Poales; Poaceae.
CCCCUGCAAGAUGACGAGUUGGGCUCCUACAUCCUUGCUGGACUGGAGAUGGAGUACCAGCCGCUGGUGUCCGCCCUCGACGCCCGCACCGUUCCUGCCUCCCUCGAUGAGAUCUUUGCUAUGAUGAGCAAUUUUGAUC